UUAACUGCUGGUUUUUGUUUCAGUCAAAACAGUAAAAGCAAGAUGGAAAAAUCUGAGAGCGUAUUUUUUUAAAGAAUGUGGAAAAAUUGAUAAGCCAAAGAGCGGAGACAGCGCUGAUAAAAUAUGUAAAAUGACAUGAAAUUUUUGUAAGGGCAGAAUAUUUGCAAGAGAUGGUAAACAAAAGCAAAUGUGCAGUCGAUGUGUGGAGUGCGACAACAUUAUACUCGAUAAUUUCAAUUAUUGCGAGUGCUGUGGCCUAGAAACAAUUAGGCAGUUAAGAAUAACCAAAGCUCGGACACUUUCAAACCUUUUUCCAAAAAAUCUAACUGCUCCUGUUGCAUCUGUUAAAUCACUAGCUGCCUCUACAAUACAACCUGACAAUUCCCAAGAUUUAU
Long non-coding RNA from Colias croceus (clouded yellow), 395 nucleotides. RefSeq lists it as uncharacterized. NCBI's taxonomy places the organism in Eukaryota, Metazoa, Arthropoda, Insecta, Lepidoptera, Pieridae. The transcript has 3 exons. The record is from RefSeq and is a predicted model, not a curated record.